This 386-nucleotide ribosomal RNA is filed under the name uncultured soil bacterium. RNAcentral's name for it is "bacterial SSU rRNA". It matches the Rfam family "Bacterial small subunit ribosomal RNA", at positions 26 to 421 of the family's 1533-position model. The record is from RNAcentral.
AGGACGAACGCUGGCGGCGUGCUUAACACAUGCAAGUCGAGCGGAAAGGCCACUUCGGUGGUACUCGAGCGGCGAACGGGUGAGUAACACGUGAGUAAUCUGCCCUUGGCUUUGGGAUAGCCACCGGAAACGGUGAUUAAUACCGGAUAUGACUGCUCCUCGCAUGAGGUGUGGUGGAAAGUUUUUCGGCCAGGGAUGUGCUCGCGGCCUAUCAGCUUGAUGGUGAGGUAAUGGCUCACCAUGGCUUCGACGGGUAGCCGGCCUGAGAGGGUGACCGGUCACACUGGGACUGAGACACGGCCCAGACUCUACGGGAGCAGCAGUGGGAAUAUGGACAAUGGGCGAAGCCUGAUCCAGCAACGCCGCGUGAGGAUGACGGCCUGGUG